UGGUGGUUGUCGGUACGGAUGUUGCGGUGGCUGGUUUUUUGGACGGUGCAACUACUGUUGUCGUAGUCCACAAGCCGAGGAGACCGUGGAAACUGAAGCUGUUGAUGCCAACGUUGUUGAACCUCAGCAGGGGGGUCGUGGUGGCUGUAGAUACGGAUGUUGCGGAUCCUGGCGUUAUGGACGGUGCAGCUACUGUUGUCGCAGUCCACAAACCGAGACCGUGGAAACCGAAGCUGUUGAUGCCAACGUUGUUGAACCUCAGCAGGGGGGUCGUGGUGGCUGUAGAUACGGAUGUUGCGGAUCCUGGCGUUAUGGAAGGUGCAGCUACUGUUGUCGCAAUCCACAAACCGAGACCGUGGAAACCGAAGCUGUUGAUGCCAACGUUGUUGAACCUCAGCAGGGGGGUCGUGGUGGCUGUAGAUACGGAUGUUGCGGAUCCUGGCGUUAUGGACGGUGCAGCUACUGUUGCCGAGGUGCUCAAGCGGAGUCUGAAGGGCAGAAAAAGGAAGAAGCUAAG
RNAcentral lists this long non-coding RNA (517 nucleotides) under Brassica napus (rape). Its description in RNAcentral is "long non-coding RNA (BNAP_LNC014794)". Lineage: Eukaryota; Viridiplantae; Streptophyta; Magnoliopsida; Brassicales; Brassicaceae. The record is from RNAcentral.